RNAcentral lists this transfer RNA (71 nucleotides) under Loxodonta africana (African savanna elephant). It matches the Rfam family "tRNA". From Rfam's summary of the family: Transfer RNA (tRNA) molecules are approximately 80 nucleotides in length. Their secondary structure includes four short double-helical elements and three loops (D, anti-codon, and T loops). The record is from Rfam by way of RNAcentral. Lineage: Eukaryota; Metazoa; Chordata; Mammalia; Proboscidea; Elephantidae.
GCAAUGGUGGUUCAGUGGUAGAAUUCUCCCCAUCCAUGUGGGAAACACAGGUUCAAUUCCUGACCAAUGCA